GUGUGUGUCAGGUGGAGCUGGGCGUCGAGACUCGUUAAGAGGGGUAACACACUAACCCCUGUGUCUCCGCAGGGGCAGCUGCGGGGGCUGCAGCCAGGCCACUGAAACAGGGUGAGUAGAGUCCCACCCCUCGCCGAGCUCCGCACAGCGAAGCACAAUCCUCGCGUGACUUGUCGCGUGUGUUUCAGGUUACGGCGUCCAGCCAGGCUAUGGAGCAGGAGCGGCACUCGGGCUACCUCAGGCCAGGAAACAGAAAGCAGGUUAUGGCGGCAAUGGAUAUGCUUAUGGGGCUCAGCCACUCGGAGGAUACGGACCUGGGGCAGGAGCCUAUCUGGGGGCGGGGCUUGGGGCAGGUAAGAGCCAAUAGGCUGUCUGUCUGCUUUUGUCCAUGUCCCUGAUUCGCUGUGUCAUCUGGGUCUUCACCAGCACAACCCGCCCCUCUCACACCUCUUUCCCCCUCAGGGCCUGGAGUCUCUGCUGGACUGGCAGGUCAGUCUGCGUGUGCGUGUCUGUGCAGGUGUCUACAUGUGUGCGCGUGACUG
Molecule: long non-coding RNA, 542 nt
Filed under: Lepisosteus oculatus (spotted gar)
Lineage: Eukaryota; Metazoa; Chordata; Actinopteri; Semionotiformes; Lepisosteidae
Description: lncRNA (ENSLOCG00000023221.1)
Source: RNAcentral